GACGAACGCUGGCGGCGUGCUUAACACAUGCAAGUCGAACGGAAAGGCCCUGCUUUUGUGGGGUGCUCGAGUGGCGAACGGGUGAGUAACACGUGAGUAACCUGCCCUUGACUUUGGGAUAACUUCAGGAAACUGGGGCUAAUACCGGAUAGGAGCUCCUGCUGCAUGGUGGGGGUUGGAAAGUUUCGGCGGUUGGGGAUGGACUCGCGGCUUAUCAGCUUGUUGGUGGGGUAGUGGCUACCAAGGCUUUGACGGGUAGCCGGCCUGAGAGGGUGGCCGGCCACAUUGGGACUGAGAUACGGCCCAGACUCCUACGGGAGGCAGCAGUGGGGAAUAUUGCACAAUGGGCGGAAGCCUGAUGCAGCAACGCCGCGUGCGGGAUGACGGCCUUCGGGUUGUAAACCGCUUUCGCCUGUGACGAGGCGUGAGUGACGGUAAUGGGUAAAGAAGCCCCGGCUAACUACGUG
Molecule: ribosomal RNA, 467 nt
Filed under: uncultured bacterium
Lineage: Bacteria
Description: partial 16S ribosomal RNA
Rfam family: Bacterial small subunit ribosomal RNA
Source: RNAcentral